AGCAGCCGCGGUAAUUCCAGCUCCAAUAGCGUAUAUUAAAGUUGUUGCAGUUAAAAAGCUCGUAGUUGAAUUUCGGGGUUAGUAGGUUGGUCAUGCCUCUGGUAUGUACUGGUCUCACUGAUUCCUCUUCCUGAUGAGCCGUAAUGCCAUUAAUUUGGUGUUGCGGGGAAUUUGGACUGUUACUUUGAAAAAAUUAGAGUGUUUAAAGCAAGCUAACGCUUGAAUACAUUAGCAUGGAAUAAUGAAAUAGGACGUUCGAUCCUAUUUUGUUGGUUUCUAGGAUUGACGUAAUGAUUAAUAGGGAUAGUUGGGGGCAUUAGUAUUCAAUUGUCAGAGGUGAAAUUCUUGGAUUUAUUGAAGACUAACUACUGCGAAAGCAUUUGCCAAGGAUGUUUUCAUUAAUCAAGAACGAAAGUUAGGGGAUCGAAGACGAUCAGAUACCGUCGUAGUCUUAACCAUAAACUAUGCCGACCAGGGAUCGGAUGAUGUUAAUUUUUUAAUGACUCA
RNAcentral lists this ribosomal RNA (507 nucleotides) under uncultured Glomus. RNAcentral's name for it is "SSU rRNA". It matches the Rfam family "Eukaryotic small subunit ribosomal RNA", at positions 569 to 1078 of the family's 1831-position model. Lineage: Eukaryota; Fungi; Glomeromycota; Glomeromycetes; Glomerales; Glomeraceae. The record is from RNAcentral.